CGUAACGAUGGAAAUGAAGCUCCGGAAAAUCGUAACGCUGCAAAAAUGAAGCUCUGGAAAAUCGUAACGAGAAUAUUACGAAUUCCGUAAUAUUUUGCCGCGCAGAAAUAGGUGUCCAUAAAAACGGAGUCAGAGUCGGGAGACCCCGUCC
This is a long non-coding RNA of Drosophila ananassae, 151 nucleotides long. RefSeq lists it as uncharacterized. Lineage: Eukaryota; Metazoa; Arthropoda; Insecta; Diptera; Drosophilidae. The transcript has 2 exons. The record is from RefSeq and is a predicted model, not a curated record.